GUUGUGUGUUUGGUAUUCAAAUAGAUCCCCUUUUGAUGAGUAAGCAAUAGCCCCACCCCUUUAAGAGAAGGGCUAAACUCAUAUGUGCAUAUUCUUAGUUGAGCAGGUUGCAAAGCAGCAAGUUGAUCUCUAACUUGCUCCCACUAAUAGCUGGAAUACUACAGACAGAUUGUAAACACACAACUUUCACAGCAGGGGUGUGCUAUUGCUGCUUUUACUCUGCCAUAGGAGUUGGCACAAGAUAAACAGUUUCUUCUGCAGGUAUCAACUGCGAUCAAGAUGGGCAAUGAGCAUUCUAAAAACAAGGCUGAGCAGGCUCCAGAAAAGCCCCUGCAUGGAGGAUUGAAUGGCCAUGCUGUAAGCAUCUCAUCCAAUGGCCUGGAGAAUGUUAUCAGUGAAGCAGCUGUGGAGCAGAACAGUAUGCCUCCCUCACUGCCUCCCUCUGAAGAGUCAGGUAUAGUGGAGGCAGAUGGCAGUGGUCUUGGGCCUGUGGUGGUGGAACAGAAGUCUGCCAUCAAGGAGGUUCCAGAAGUGGAACCAGAGACACAGAAUGCUAAGACUCAAAACACACCGGAACCAGAACUGGAACCAGCCACCCAAGAGAAGGAGGAGCCCAAGAACAGUACGAAAGAAAAAGUGAACAUCUUUGAAAAUCUGUUCAAGAAGAAAGCUAAGCCUCAACCCACCCCCAACCCGGAUCCAGCCCUGGAAAAGGAGGAAACCAUAAAGGACAAGAUUGUGGAGGAGAUUGAAAGUUCUGCAGAAGAUCAGAAAGUCCCUGUGGCUGUGACCGAUGGGAUCCAAGCUGAGCCACUUGCUGAGGUAAAGGAGGAUACAGAGACUUCAAAGGAGCGUCCCAACCCUAGUCCAGAGGCAGAGGAGGUCAAAAGCCCCAAAAUUGCAGAGGAAAGCAGUCACAUUCAGGAAAACCAAGAGGGAGAGAGUCAAACAGAAGAGAAUCCAGUUAUGAACUUCUUCAAAACACUAGUGACUCCCACAAAAAAAAACAAGCAAGAAACAGCCACCCCUGCUGUUGCAAAAGACCAGAAAGAGGCCCAACCAACAACAACAACUACUGCUGCACAACUAGUGGAUGCUCCAGCAACAGCCAAAGGAGGAAUGUCAAUCCCACCAGCCCCAGCCCCAGCCCCAUCCCCAGCCCCAGCCCCAGCCCCAGCCCCAGCCCCAGCCCCAGCCCCAUCCCCAGCCCCAGCCCCAGCCCCAGCCCCAGCCCCAGCCCUAGGCUCAUGUAAGAUGGAGGUUAAAGCAGAACUAGCUGCCCAAUCUGUGACCAACACACCAAACGAAGAACCAAAGGGUGCUGCCAAAGAACCAGAGGCCGCCAAGCCGAAAUCUGACCGCCCGUUCAGCAGACUUUUCAGCAGAAAGACAGUGGAACCAGUGGAGCCACAGCCGGUUGUGGAAGUACAGACAGUGGAACCAGUGGAGCCACAACCGGUUGUGGAAGUACAGGUAAAAGGAGAGAACUCUUGGCAUACUCCAUCCUCACGUGCCAUCUUUGUCUCUUUCUGUUGGGUUGCAUGGUGAAAAUGGGUGUUCAUGCUAUCAGUUACAGAGGAGGCUGGUGGGAGGAGCUAUAAGAUGACAGGCUUAUUGUAAUGCCUGGAAUGGAAUAAAUGGAAUGGAGUAAAAUAUGUUGUUUGCAUGUGUUUGUGUUUGGUACCAUUCCAGGGACUCCAUUCCAUCAAUUACAAUGAGCACAUCCUCCUAUAGCUUCUCUCACCAGCUUCCUCUGAUCAGUUACAAGUUGUUUCAUUCAUCUCAGCAAUAAAGUGGUGCUAAGGGGCAAAUCACAUAAUAUCUAUUUUACAGUACCAGUUUUGGUACCUGAGUAGAGAUUUUUAUCACCCUCUUAUCUCUUUCUUUCUUAUCUGUUUUAGUGGGUUAUUUUCUGGUUCUUCCAGGUGGUGGACUCUUGUGGGCUCUUAGACCUUCCUUAAUUAAUCCUGACAAUGGUUUAUAAUUAAGUUUUCUCUUUUGCUGUUUCGGUAAAGAAUGUAGACUUCUCAAAGACGGCCACUCUGGAGGCCUCUGCCACACUAGAACCACCACCACCAGAGGAAGAGAAGACACCUGCUGCCUCCAAAGCCUCUCCUUUCACUUCCUUUUCUCUUUUCAAGACAAAGGCAGCUGUGCCAAAAAAGGAAGUCCCUGCCCUAGCUGCAGAAGCGGUAGUUGAACCAAGUGUAGCCAAGGACGAACCAAAGGCCCCAGAGGACCCUGCUGUGGACAGCAAGCCCGUGUCAGAGCCCUCCGAGGUUAUGGAGAAUUCCCCCGUCCUCCCUAAGAGACUGGAGAAGAGGAACUCCAUCCACUUGUUCUUCAAAAACCUGGGCAAACGCCAGUCAGAUGCAGGAGUACAAACAGAACCAGAGAAGACCAAAUAAAACAGAAACACCCUUUCAAACAUCACAUGCCAUAUCUGGAAAUGAACUUUUGAUUUGUUAGAUACAUUAUGUUUCUGAUCACACUAUUGAUGUGGUAAGAGCAAGUGGUUUGAGGGAGAGAGGUGGACUGUGGACUAGUCUGUUCUAGUCUAAUCUUUGUGGACAAUUUCAGAGAAUUGUUCUUUGUGGAGGAGGUAAAUAUAUUUUCUGGUUUUAAAGGCUUGAUAGGUAGAGAAAAGUGGUUUUGUAACAUAUACUGAGAGCAAAAUCAAUUUUCUAUACAGUAUGUACCCUUCUUUUAACAUACAUGUCAAACUCAUUCCACGGAGGGCUGAGUGUCUGCUGGUUUUUGUUCCUCCCUUGAUUGAUUAAUUAAGGUCACUAAUUAGUAAAGAACUCCCCUCACCUGGUUGUCUAAGGUCUUAAAAACGAAACACUCGCAGACACUAAGCCCUUCAUGGAAUGAGUUUGACAUCCCUGCUUUAACAUAUUAAUGUGUAAGGAUCUAAUGCAAAUAUUACGUUUAGCAUAUUUUUUUCCCUCUAUACGCAAUUUACUAGUCUGAAAAUAACUUGUGGAGUGCAUACAAUGGUUUCAGAUACAUUCAUAGGACGUCUUGGAGAAGAGAUGCAUAAAGCUUAGCUUGGAAUAGAGAGAUAGUAAUGGAAUAUACUCCAAAUGUAAUGGAGGAGUUGGUGAAAUGGUGGAUAUUCCUGCCAAGAUGUUUUUAUUUAGGCUAGACACAUGCAACUUACAAUGUAGGCUUUAAACUUUGCAGGAACUGUACACGGAUGCAAAUAUAUGCCAAACACUAAAUUACAAUAUAUGAUUAUAAUCAUACACAGGGGGACCUCACAAUCAUUACUUUUUUUGGGAACUACACAGAUCAUCUGGUAGUCUAUAUAGCUAACUGCACAGUCAUGAAUCAUAUUUGAUUAACGUUUCACUGAAGUAUAAAGGUUUGUUCUAAUUUGAGUGCACUGCUUUACAUGUGUGUGCCUGUUUGAAUGCAGAUGUUAUAAUCUUGGGUAUCUUGUCUGUUAAUUUCUGCACCUAUAAUUUGAUAAACUGGAUCUGGAAGUAGAAUAUUUAUUGUGACAGCAAUUUCCGAAUCAUGACAACCUGCAAUGGGGUAUAUGGGGGGGUUCUACUGAGCUAACAUGGAUUUUUUUUUAAAGAUCAUACCAUGGAUCCUUUAGCUAUUUAAUUUUUCAUUGGGGUAAAAUAUUGAAUUUGGCCUUUUAAUGCUACAACCUAUAGAAAUGCAUUGAAUAACACACUCAUAAAUGGCAAAACAGAGUACAAAAAUAAAUAAUAAGGAAUAUGUUUUUGAAUUGUCUGUCCUACAUCUAGGAGAUGUAAUAAAGUUCAGGAUUUACACAUUUAACCCAUUUUUUGGGGUGUCACAAAACUACUUCUAUAUUUGUUUUUAUGUUAAUUAGAUUGACGCACGGGUGCGUUGAUCAACUUUAGGGGUAUUUAAAGCUAUUUUUUUCUGUAACUGUUAAGAGAAUAAAUGUAUACAAUUAUAUGUUUUCUUGUUUUCUAUCUCACAAUUUAGGCCAAAAGCUAUCAGUAUAGGGAAAUAUGAAAACAUAUUUAGACUGGAAUUAAAUGUCCCUGUAAUAUAUUGAUUUAAUGUUAUCAAGCAGGACUAUCAAGUGCUGCAAUACCUGAAAAAGACAUGACCCAACAAGUUUAUCAACACAUCUUGUAUUCCCGAAGUAGGGAGCCAAGCUGUCUCAGC
Long non-coding RNA from Oncorhynchus tshawytscha (Chinook salmon), 4155 nucleotides. The record is from Ensembl. Lineage: Eukaryota; Metazoa; Chordata; Actinopteri; Salmoniformes; Salmonidae.